This 813-nucleotide ribosomal RNA is filed under the name Triticum aestivum (bread wheat). RNAcentral's name for it is "partial small subunit ribosomal RNA". Lineage: Eukaryota; Viridiplantae; Streptophyta; Magnoliopsida; Poales; Poaceae. The record is from RNAcentral.
AUGGAGGAACUUGUCCUGAAAGAAGAUGAUCUGAUUGAUGUUGUGGUGGAAGACACCGAGAUGCCGAAGGAAGAUACGCGCUGGAUGGCACUGGCUAGGGUUCACACAGAGAAAACAUAUAGCCAAUAUUGGUUCUAUAGGAACAUGAGAGUGGCCUGGGAUCUAGCUCAAGAGGUAAAGAUUAGACCACUAGAAGAUAAUCUGUACUCGAUGCAAUUCUCUUGUCUAGGAGACUGGGAGAGGGUUAUGGGAGAUGGCCCUUGGAACUUCAAGGGGAAAGCAGUAGUUCUGUUGGAGUAUGCUGGCUUCACAAAGCCGUCGACUAUAGAACUUAACAAACUGGAUGUUUGGAUCCAGAUUCAUGACCUGCCAGAUGGCUUCUUUUCCAAGGUCAAAGCUUUGUCUGCCACUGUGGGAGAAUUUAUAUAUGUUGAGCCUAGAUUUCCGGAUUUUGAAGGUAACUUCGCGAGAGUUCGCAUCAGGAUUGAUGUCACUAAACCUCUGAAGAACGUUGUUUCGCUGGUAAUAAAGAAGAAGGACUCGGUGCAGCGAGUCAUCUUUAGAGUCAAGUAUGAAAGAUUGCCAGACUGGUGCCCAGUUUGCGGACAUCUAGGUCACCAACACAAAGAAUGUGGGGACGGGGUUCAUGCCCCAAAGGCGCUGGUCUUCAAAGACAUCAAGGACACGUGGUUCAAAGGCCCUGGCAGUGGACCGGAUGAGAGCAGCAACAUUGGGAGAGGCCGAGGCAGAGGCCGCGCGGGAAGAGGAAGAGGACGUUCUUCCAACAGUGCUGACUCAUUUGACGACCAGUAA